RNAcentral lists this ribosomal RNA (314 nucleotides) under uncultured soil bacterium. RNAcentral's name for it is "bacterial SSU rRNA". It matches the Rfam family "Bacterial small subunit ribosomal RNA", at positions 26 to 348 of the family's 1533-position model. The record is from RNAcentral.
AGGAUUAACGCUGGCGGAGUGCCUAACACAUGCAAGUCGAGCGGCAGCGCGAGUAGUUUACUACUUGGCGGCGAGCGGCGGACGGCUGAGUAACGCGUGGGAACGUGCCCCAAAGUGAGGAAUAACUGCCCGAAAGGGUAGCUAAUGCCGCAUAUGAUCUUCGGAUUAAAGGAUUUAUCCGCUUUGGGAGCGGCCCGCGUCAGAUUAGGUAGUUGGUGAGGUAAAGGCUCACCAAAGCCGACGAUCUGUAGCUGGUCUGAGAGGAUGACCAGCCAGACUGGAACUGAGACACGGUCCAGAACUCCUACGGGGAG